Long non-coding RNA from Anguilla rostrata (American eel), 1869 nucleotides. RefSeq lists it as uncharacterized. NCBI's taxonomy places the organism in Eukaryota, Metazoa, Chordata, Actinopteri, Anguilliformes, Anguillidae. The transcript has 3 exons. The record is from RefSeq and is a predicted model, not a curated record.
AUCCCAGCUGGUUUUAGCUGGAAUUUUCAGCAGGGCCAUGCAUACCAGGAAAAUAUACUAAUCAAUUCAUUACAUUACAGGCAUUUAGCAGACGCUCUUAUCCAGAGCGACGUACAACAAGUGCAUCAGAUCAGGAAUGCCAGUUGACAUGGUUCCCCCUCUUUAAAUUUCACCAUCGUAACUAUGCAAUCUGCAUGUUCAAAUUACCAAACCACCAACUGCGCAGCGUUGUUGUGCAUAAACGGAAACCCCACGCUGUUAUGGUCGGCUGAGGAGUGAUAGAACAUGACGGAAAUUUCCCCUGGCUACUGCUCGCUAGAUUGCGCCGUUAGUUUCAAACAGAGGUGAGAUGAGUGGACAAUGCUGACCAGAGACGCGGCGCAUGUCUUCGCUGGCAGCAUCAGAGGGGGGAUGACGAGCGGCGGACCAUGUAGCGGUAAAGCGCAGUGAAGGCACGAGACAUGACAGAAAACCGUUUCACCGAACAACAGCUCUGUCACUAUAAACAAGGAUAUCCCCCUGUGUGUAACCAAGGACAACACCAUUUUCCUAUCCAGUCGAAUCAAUCGGAUGAAAGCUAGGGGUAUUGAGUGGGAUGAAAAAAGAUUGACAAUGGGAUAGAUCCCCUCUCCCAACACUGACUGCUCUCUGGUUCGCUGCACACGAGCAGCAGCGAAGCUCAGUCUCUCCUGUUGUUUUCCAGAUGAGCUGCCGUGGCCGGCUCUGUUCCUGCCAGCCGUCUGCUAGAGCAGGGAUCGAUACGGACGCUUCCACAGACAGCAGAGCGCACUGAAGCGCUCAGUGGGUGACUGAGCAGAGCGUGUUCCGCUAAAGAUAACGCUGUGCUGGUUAAAUGCAGCAGGCUGUUUCGCCACCCUUUACAGGCUGCUCCCCCAUGAUAGCCAUUAUAAUAAUGGAUUGACAACUCUCUUAGAUAGAGAUAUUGCAAAAAUACUGUUUGGUUUUGAUGAGUGAUUCGUCUGUUUUCUUGUCAUUUAACAAAGCAAGGCUCAUUUUAAUAUUUCCUUCUCAAAUAUCCAAUAUACUUGUGGAGUAUUUUUUCUUUUGACAUUCUGACAAAUUCAAUGCCUGAGUUUUUAUCGAAUAAUCAGAUUUAUAAGUAAUUUAAGGCUUCAAGUUUUAAGCUUCACGCAUUCUAGACCAGCGUAUUAUAACACUGCUGGCCUUGGAAGAAUUUCAAGUAGUGACUGAGCUUCCACCUGUGGCAGUGAUGAGGUGUUUAGUAUAUCAGCUAUGAUUGUGAUAUCAUGGGUGUUGUUAUGACAGAGAGAGCCUAGCGUGCAUGUUUGUUUCUUGGUGGAGGUGUGACCAAAAGCAGGGGGCCUGGUGUCUUGGGUAGGGGGUGGGCGGUGCUGGUGUGAGAGCAUGUGCUUUGCUGAGAGAGACCUCUGUAUGUUUGUGAGAAGUGGGCAGGUGUAAAAAUGGACUGUGGAUGACUGCAUAUUGCUGAUGGUGGGUUUGCCAUUCACAACCCCCUUUCUUUAAUUGGCCACAUAGUGGAGAACAUGGAACUGAAAGGUGUGAGUGGUGGGUCAUGUGAUUCUGAGUGCAAAGAGGGCAGGACACACCAUGAGGACAAGGACGACAAGGCUUGGAAGUCUUAAUUACCCACAUUCUCUGGCUUUGAGCCUUGAUUUGGGGAAAUAACUUAGCAAUUAGGGGACCUAACUGGUGGCUAUAGCAAAGUCCCUGCUGAUGUCAGCUGUCUGGGACAGUGUUGCUGAAAGACCAGGAGCUUUCAUACAUUUUCCCUCUCUUCUUCGCCAUCACAACCAUGAUCCAUGGUCUGUGGCACAAUGAACCAUUUGAACAAGCAAACCCUUCCCAGAUAACAAAAAAAUCUUUAUA